GCUUUAUCUAGAUGCAUUUGAAAAGCUGCCCAUUUGAUCUCCUCUGCACUCAACGGUUGUAACAAUCUAUCAUUGUCCAAAUUAGAUACUUUGGGAGACAUCGUCUCUAUAACUCGAUUUCAAUCUCUAACAGAAGGGGAAAACAACCCUUAAAAAACCUCAAGUAUAUGGGUCUACAUGCCUGAUUUUUCUCGAAUCCACUCGUCAGUCAUAUCUUUGAGGACAGUAAUAGAAUUUUGACGCCGUUGUUUAGAUGCUUGUCUAUUAAAAAAUCUUGAAUUUCUAUCUCUUUGGGAUAACCAAUGAGACUUAGCUCUCUGUCUCCACUAACACUCCUCCUGUUCCAAUAGCUAUAU
RNAcentral lists this long non-coding RNA (356 nucleotides) under Carica papaya (papaya). RNAcentral's name for it is "long non-coding RNA (CPAP_LNC002010)". Lineage: Eukaryota; Viridiplantae; Streptophyta; Magnoliopsida; Brassicales; Caricaceae. The record is from RNAcentral.